This 289-nucleotide signal recognition particle RNA is filed under the name Phascolarctos cinereus (koala). RNAcentral describes it as "Metazoan signal recognition particle RNA (ENSPCIG00000000269.2)". It matches the Rfam family "Metazoan signal recognition particle RNA". Rfam says of the family: The signal recognition particle (SRP) is a universally conserved ribonucleoprotein. It is involved in the co-translational targeting of proteins to membranes. Lineage: Eukaryota; Metazoa; Chordata; Mammalia; Diprotodontia; Phascolarctidae. The record is from Rfam by way of RNAcentral.
GCUGGGCAUGAAGAGGCAUACCUGUAAUCUUAGCUACCAAGAAGGCUAAGACCGGUGGAUCUCGAGCUCAGGAGUUAUGAGCUACAUUGGACUAUCUGCCAAUCAGAUGUCCGCACUAAGUUUGGCAUUAAUGUGGUGAGUGCUUGGAAGCAGGGAGCCACCAGGUUGCCUAAGGAAGGGUGAAUCGAUCUGGGCUGGAAACAGGUCAACACUCCUACACUGAUCAGUAGAGGAAUCAGGCCACGAGGAGCCCCUUCUCUUCUAACUUGGACAAGAGCAAGAGUCCCCU